UACGAAGGGGGCUAGCGUUGCUCGGAAUCACUGGGCGUAAAGCGCACGUAGGCGGACUCUUAAGUCGGUGGUGAAAUCCUGGAGCUCAACUCCAGAACUGCCUUCGAUACUGGGAGUCUUGAGUCCGGGAGAGGUGAGUGGAACUGCGAGUGUAGAGGUGAAAUUCGUAGAUAUUCGCAAGAACACCAGUGGCGAAGGCGGCUCACUGGCCCGGUACUGACGCUGAGGUGCGAAAGCUAGGGGAGCAAACAGG
RNAcentral lists this ribosomal RNA (253 nucleotides) under uncultured bacterium. RNAcentral describes it as "partial 16S ribosomal RNA". It matches the Rfam family "Bacterial small subunit ribosomal RNA", at positions 524 to 776 of the family's 1533-position model. The record is from RNAcentral.